Long non-coding RNA from Helianthus annuus (common sunflower), 861 nucleotides. RefSeq lists it as uncharacterized. NCBI's taxonomy places the organism in Eukaryota, Viridiplantae, Streptophyta, Magnoliopsida, Asterales, Asteraceae. The record is from RefSeq and is a predicted model, not a curated record. The transcript has 8 exons.
AGGCCUUAGAUGCAAAAUUAAUUAUCUUUAAGAAAAAGAGAAGAAAGAAUUAUUGAUGAAUAAAAUGUCAUAGACAGAGGUGAGUUUACUCACCAUGUUAAAUCCGUGUCAAUGUCUAAUUUUACUUCACAAGAAGUUGAAGCCCUUAAAGAAGGCAGUAAUCAGCGUGCAAUGGAAACAUUUAUAAGAGAUUGGGACCCACGAGAACAUAGACUUCUACAUAACAGCAAUGUGGAGAAAGUUUGAGAUUUUAUAAAGAGUGUCUACGUGGAUAAGAAGUUUUUCACUUCAAAGGCGUCCGGAAAACCUCCUAGAGAUGCAAUGGAUGGUUCGGUUCUAUAUUGGAUGUGAUGGAAGUUGUUUUGAAGGCAUUUGCACCAAGGAGGUACUAUGAAAUCGACCUCCAUUAACGGCGUGAAGAUGUAUACAGUUGCAGGAUAACAUCGCUCGCUGGCCACUUGGCUACCGCCGAAGAAGCUUAGAGCUCUUCGCAAAGACAAAAAUUACACGGAAAGGGUGGAUUUGAUCCAAGAUUUAAGAUUUGUCAACGUUCUAAAGCCAUUGGUACAUAAUUGCACGCCAAUUACUCGACAAAAUGUCUCAAUGAAGUGCUGCCAUAAAAAUUGAAGUCAUAACGAUGUCCAGCAGAGUUCCAGCAAUAAGCAACUAACACACUUCUACUACAAAUUGCACCACCAAUAUAAUGGACUCGAUUUACUAAGGGAAAGAUUUUGGCAAAUCGAAGGAUAUGAUCUUCAAAAGGACUCGGGAAACUAACUAAUUUUAAGAACACUAAUCAUGGAUUCUUCUGAAGAUCGUUGCGACCAAGGUGAUUUCGAAUUUGCGUUUAACAAUAACAAC